This 2378-nucleotide long non-coding RNA is filed under the name Canis lupus familiaris (dog). Its description in RNAcentral is "lncRNA (ENSCAFG00845007537.1)". Lineage: Eukaryota; Metazoa; Chordata; Mammalia; Carnivora; Canidae. The record is from RNAcentral.
UUUUUUUUUUUUUUUUUUUUUUUUUGCUAUUUCAGAACACUCCUUGUGUGCCCCUUGGGAUACUUUGACUGCCUUUGACUUUGUGAGAAAUUAAUCAUCCAGCCAUAGCUAUUCUGUAAAACAUGGUGGGAAAUAUGAACUUUAACCCACCUGUCAAGCUUCCCUCAAAAUGGGAGCCUAAAGCGUCUUCUGCUUUAAAUUAUAGAUGUUUACAUACUCCUUGUUGUGCAGACUUCAGAUCUUUAUCAUGUAAGAUGUAUCAACUAAAUUAGGAAGUUAACCACCAGCAAGAUUCUCAAUGUAAAACAGCAUUAAACAAUGGAAAUGAAGGGAAUGGGUGAAAAUGGUCAAAGGGUGAAAACAUCCAGUUUUAAGAUGAAUGACUUCUGGGGAUGGAGUAUGCAUCAUGGUGAUGACACUUAACAAAGUACUGUACUAUAUAUUGGAAAGUUGCUAAGAGUAGAUCUUAAGAAUUAUCACAAGAAAUUAACCACAUGUGUGAUAGGGAUGUUAACUAAACUUCCUUUUGUAAUGAUUUUGCAGUCUAUACAUAUUUCAUGUUGUGUCGGACAGCUUGAACUACCAUAAUGUUAUAUGCUAAUUACAGCUCUGUAAACUGAAAACAAGAGACAAAAGGGAAAAUAUAUUAAUAUAAAUAUGUAGAAGACAUAAGGAAGUAGAACAUACCCAUAAGUCUUAUUAUCCUUUUUUUUUUCUCUGCCACAGUGGCAAGGUGAUAAUGUGUUCUUUCCACAAUACACUCUGAAUAAUUGCCUUGCUUUCAGCCACCAUUUCAACCAAUCAAAUAGGCUUUCUGGCUUAGCUUACCUAACCCCUUUUCCUGAGGGAUCUGAGUUCUUCAUGAUCCUUCUUCUAUUGGGUUUCUAUAGACUUCCAUUAACUUUAACCACUGAGAAUGAGGGUGUGAGGAGAUGCCCUAGAGGAACCUGUGAAUAUCAAAUAUAGAAGCAUGGAUGUAGAUUAACAAAAAAGUUGUAGGUGGAUGUCAGGGGUUUUCAGUAGAGGCAUCAUUAACAUCAUGAGCUGUGUAAUACCCAUUUUUUGGAAAGAUGUGUUAAAGUCUACCACUCAGUGUCUUCCUCUACUUUGGUCUGUUUUGACUUUCAUUUCUAAAAAAUUUAUUCCAAUGUAAUUGGCAUACAGUAUUAAAUUAGUUUCAGGUGUACAAUAUAGUGGUUCAACAUUCCUGUAUAUUACUCAGUGCUCAUCACAAAAUAUACUUUUAAUCCCCUUUAACUGUUUCAUCCACCCACCCCACUUCCUUUUGUUGGUUCUCUAUAGUUUAGAGUCUGCUUUUUGGAUUGCCUCUUUUUUUCCCUUUGUUCACUUAUUUUCAUCCUUAUAUUCCACAUAUGAGUAAAAUCAUAUGGUAUUUGUCUUUUUCUGACUUAUUUCAUUUAACAUUAUAGUCUCCAGAUCCAUCCAUGCUGUCAGGGGUGAAUAUUACUCCUAUUAUAUUUAAUGAUGAUCCCUUAUGUGCAUAUAUAUAGCAAAAUAUGCAUUUAAACUUUUUUAUUUCUUUACCAACUCCCUGGAGUUCUGUAGUAUAUAUAGAUGUUUAUGAUAAAGGUAACAAAUCUAUAGAGAUAGAGGUGGGAGAGAGACUGAGAAAUAGCAGAUAAAAAUCAGUAAUUUUUUAACAUAAAGUCAUCUCUUCACUUCUUGACAUUCUUAGGUUGAUAUUUGUCCUCCUUACUUCAUUCAAUAGAAAGAAGACAAGUCUUGUGGCUCAGCCUUAAAAACAAAGAAGAUUCCUUAUUUCAGGUUGAACAUUAAGGAAGGGAGCAAAAGUGUUGUAAGUACUUAAUACUUUUUUCAAUAUGAUAUUUUCUAUGUAUUAAUUUGAAAAGACAAUAGAAAAUGAUGAGCUUAUACUUCAGUAAUACUAACUCAGAAUAGAGUUGGAAAAAGGACAUACCAACAACAUAGAAACAUUUACAAGGUAAUCAAGGUAAACUAAAUCCUUGCUUUUGUACAACAGCAGAGCCAGAUGAUUUUAUACAGUGACAGCAUUGCAGGAUGGAUUAUGAAUUGGUGCUAAGGAACCAUAGACUUGAUGGGAGCCCUUGAUUUAUUUAUCUGUCAAGAACAUAAAGUGUAUAGAGGUGAAUUGGUGUUUUGCUGUCUUUUGUUAUAUAACAAACUACCCUAGGACUUAAUGCUUUUAAGUCACUAUUUGUUUUCACCUAUGCUUUGGUAAGUCAGGAAUUUGGAGAGCACUUGUCUGGUAGCUUCCUUUAUUUAUUUUAUUUUAUUUUAUUUUAUUUUUUUAUUUUAUUUUAUUUUAUAUUUUAUUUAAUUUUAAUUUAAUUUUAUUUAUUUUAUUUUUUUAUAAAUUUAAUUUUUAUUGGUGUUCA